Molecule: long non-coding RNA, 300 nt
Filed under: Cricetulus griseus (Chinese hamster)
Lineage: Eukaryota; Metazoa; Chordata; Mammalia; Rodentia; Cricetidae
Description: lncRNA (ENSCGRG00000025779.1)
Source: RNAcentral
CUAUAAUUACAUCAUUAAAAGUCACUGCUAAAUAUAAAAACAAAGAAGACUAUUACUAGUUAUUUUGCAACCCUAGCGAAACCACAACACAACUUCAUGGACAUACUCGUGAUCGAAUGCUGAAGUAACCAGGACACCCAAUCACAAUGUCAACCAACAGAAAUAUACGAAAUCAUUCAUAUGGAGAGGCCAUCAGACAAUCUGACACAAGUCUGGGAAAUGGAAUGACAGAGACAUCAGGUGGCUUAUGAGUAAAACUUACUUUAUUAUUUUUCUGUUGUUUUUGGUUGCGGUCCUUAU